Molecule: long non-coding RNA, 2496 nt
Organism: Nylanderia fulva
Lineage: Eukaryota; Metazoa; Arthropoda; Insecta; Hymenoptera; Formicidae
Source: RefSeq, a predicted model, not a curated record
UGGGGUAAAACGGGUAUAGAAUUGUUUAUAAAUAUUUAAUGUAAGUACAAACAUAUAGUCGAAAAAAGUGUCAUCCCUAUUUUCUCAUUAUUUGUAGACGCAAUAAUUAUAUAAAACGCCCGCUUCGUAUAAUGAAAUCAGAAUUGAUAUUAUUUGCGAAAAUCACGUGUCUCGUGUAUUAAUAUUCAUGUGUUAAUGAAUUCGAAUAGUUCGUGUAAGGAAUACUAAGUGCCAUAUGCGCUUGAAAUAAAUUUUGUAAGUACGUAACUCAUAUAGAUUUCCCCUUAAAUGAUCAAUAUUCCUCUAUAUACAAAAUCGAACAUCACAUAAAGGCUUUAUAUUAACUUUAAUCAAAUAUAUAUUUUUUGGGGGAUAAGAAUAAAACCUUUUUUAUAUUCUAACAUAAAUAUGUUUUCACACUUGCGCACGAUAUAGGAUAUAUUGCUCUCAUAAAAUAAAUGGCAGUGUGGAUGGUGUAUUAAAACGUGAUACUAUUAAUUAUAUUUUUAGUAGAAGGUCGAUAUAUUUUUUUAUAUUUACGCGCCGGAAUAAUUAUGCAAGAUAUUAUUUUAAUUCUCUUUGAUUAUCUUAUUGCGAAUCUUUCUGCAAAUUGACUAAAAUCUAUAUCAAAUACGAGUAUACAUUACGAUACAGAAUAUAUUAGGCACUCUCGAGGAAUAAUCGUGCACGUUACGUCAAUAACUAAAAAGGAACUCUCUUACGUGAUUUCACUGUUAGACUACGACGCUUCGCCUGUUGCUUUUACAAUGGGGACUGUACACCUCUAAUUUAUCCCGCGGUGUGUUCAUCGCAGAAUAAUCGAUGGGAAACGGUACGGUGUUAUCGCGUAUCAUGCAGGAAUCCGUCAUGCCCAGGAAAUGCUCUCCCGGACCGAAAGGGCCGCGACCGAAUAGGAAGUUAGCGAACACCAGCUGAUACUGCGGCCAGCCAAGAGGAUGAUCUCCAUUCUUUUAACAAAUUUCUCAUCGUUAUAUAUUAUAAACUUCAAGAGAUAAGUUAGUCUUAGAUGUGUCAAAAUUUCACAUUAUAACUUUAAUUGAAAAUUUCUUGUAAAAAAUUUCUUUAUUUGUUUUGAAUUAACUUACCGAAGUCAUGGAAUCGUACGCGAUAUCCAGACACUUCUUUAUUCUGUCGGUGUCCAAGCCGACCACGGAUCCGUAAAAAGCCGCGAGUUCCUUCUUGCUGAUCAUUCCACUACCGGAGCUGUUGAUGGCGAGAAAGAACACCCUAGGCAUAACUUUGAUCCAAAACGGUAUAUCGUUGUAGCUUGCACCGUCCGGUGGUGCGACGAUUUUCGCCCACCAGGACAGCCAUUCCUCGAGGUCGAUUUUUUUAUCCGACUCUGCGGAUUCCUUCUCCUGAAGAAUCAAUCCGGCGAAUCCGUUCUCGAUCUCCAACAGCCUCAAAUAUUCCGGACCAUUCCAUGACCAAUCCGCAAAUCUUCUCAAACGCUUUUGGAAGAUCAAGACUAUACCUCCGAGAGUGUUGAAAAAUCCUUCCUGUUGAUGUAACCGUCUUUAUCGUGAUCCAAGAGAUACGUAAAAAAAUGGGAAAACUUAUCACGCUGUAUGAGUGCUAAAGAUUUUGAACCGUCGAUUUCACCAAAUUCAUUAAUAGCGGACAAACUCUCAUCACUCGGAAAGCGGCUUACCCAGGCAGAUGAAGACACUCUACAUAAAAUAAUUCACAUUAUACUCGAAGAAGAAAGUCUAGCUAAAAUAGAGGUCAAGUACUCACUCCACACGUGUACGCUCCAGCUAGGUUGUUCCAGUUCGGGGAUGACGGCGGGUUGGACAGCGAGCUCGUCGAUGUUGCUGCUUGUCGUUCGCCAUCUCUUCAGCAGGUCCUUGGUCCGAUCGCGGGUCCGAUCGCAGGCCUGUCGCCAGUUGGUGAUGAAUUUUCGCGGCACCUUGAGCGCGUUGCCGUCGUCCAGGCUGAUCUCCUGGCUGCCGAGGGAGCUACGUUGACUCUUGUCAGCGGAUUCGCUACCACCGCCGCCACCCCCAGCGCUCGACGUGCCAUCGUUCUCCGGGUAGUAGAUGGGAUCCUUUAUGCUGCCCGAACGACUCUCCAUGACGGACUACCUGGCCAGCGUCAUAUCUCUAAGCUGCUCGACGUAUAUGUAUAUAUUUUAUACAAGGGAACUCACUCCUGAAAAUAAUCAAUUCCACCGACCGCGCCGGAGAGGUCACCGGGUCGCUCGAUAUUGCGACCGCGCCAUUUCGCCGCCGGAAUCUCUUCGGUAUGCAGGUGUGACAAUAUAUAGAUACGUGUCCUUUUCAACUGUAGUUUAUAUUUCGUUCUUGCUGGCUUUCCUCCUCUGUUCUCUAUAUGAUUUUAUGUAUUAUUAUAAUAUAUUAUAAACAUAGUUAUAUCAUCAGGAAUUCAACAAAUGCAUAUAUGGUAUGCAUAUUAAUAAUUGUGUGAUUUUGUAUUGAGAAAGAGAAAUAUUAAAAAAGACAAGUCAAAUAAAAA